GACAGAGGGUGCAAACGUUGUUCGGAAUUACUGGGCGUAAAGCGCGUGUAGGCGGCCCUGCAAGUCGGGUGUGAAAUCCCACGGCUCAACCGUGGAAGUGCACUCGAAACUGCAGGGCUAGAGUCCUGGAGAGGAAGGUGGAAUGCUUGGUGUAGAGGUGAAAUGCGUAGAUAUCAAGCGGAACACCGGUGGCGAAGGCGGCCUUCUGGACAGUGACUGACGCUGAGACGCGAAAGCGUGGGGAGCAAACAGG
This 253-nucleotide ribosomal RNA is filed under the name uncultured bacterium. RNAcentral describes it as "partial 16S ribosomal RNA". It matches the Rfam family "Bacterial small subunit ribosomal RNA", at positions 524 to 776 of the family's 1533-position model. The record is from RNAcentral.